GAAAUAUAAGCAUUGCACUGUAUUCAAUGGCAAGCUAUCCUGGAUUCCAGAGCCUUCAGUUAAUAAUAAAUUGAAAUAUCGUGAAGGCUCUGGUUCAACGGGAGGUUUCUUUGAUUAAACUGUGCCAAUCACAAAACAGAAUUAGCAGUUUUAGUACAGAUUUUGGGCGUGUUAACCCAUUAAGCGCCAGCGCUUUCCCCUUGACGAGUAAAAUCGUCUGGCGUUAGACAGAGUAAAAUACUCUGGCGUUAGACAGAGUAAAAU
Molecule: non-coding RNA, 264 nt
Organism: Paramuricea clavata
Lineage: Eukaryota; Metazoa; Cnidaria; Anthozoa; Malacalcyonacea; Plexauridae
Source: the annotation of a GenBank genome assembly